AUUUUGUUAUGUGGACACUUUCGCACUAUCUCCUUAAACCUCUCCCAAGCUUCAAAAAAGGUUUCAGUCUCGUUCUAACAAAAGUUAGCUGAUGAGAAAUAUU
This 103-nucleotide small nucleolar RNA is filed under the name Nicotiana tabacum (common tobacco). RNAcentral's name for it is "Plant small nucleolar RNA R71". It matches the Rfam family "Plant small nucleolar RNA R71". From Rfam's summary of the family: R71 is a member of the C/D box family of snoRNAs containing the C (UGAUGA) and D (CUGA) box motifs. Multiple nearly identical copies of this snoRNA have been identified in Arabidopsis, and it is thought to function as a 2'-O-ribose methylation guide for 18S ribosomal RNA. The record is from Rfam by way of RNAcentral. Lineage: Eukaryota; Viridiplantae; Streptophyta; Magnoliopsida; Solanales; Solanaceae.